Long non-coding RNA from Drosophila sulfurigaster albostrigata, 515 nucleotides. RefSeq lists it as uncharacterized. Lineage: Eukaryota; Metazoa; Arthropoda; Insecta; Diptera; Drosophilidae. The record is from RefSeq and is a predicted model, not a curated record. The transcript has 2 exons.
CGUCGCCUGUCAUCGAUUCGAAUGUUGCUUAAAAUGUCAUAAAUUUUCCAAAACAUUUUAUUUUUUUGUUAAGAUCAAGAUUAAGCAGCAUAACGCUAAAGCGUUUAGGCCAGGUUAAAUUGAACAGUCUUGAACAUGGCAAUCAACACUUUGGCUGCUGCACAAAAUUUGCAUAAAUGGCAUAUCAAUUAAGCCAAACACUUUGGCAAGUGUCAAGCUGUUUUGCGACUGGCUACCGUAAAUGGCGGGGCAGAAGCAUCAAGUUAGCCAAGUUGAAACAAAUUUCACAACCGGCCAGGCCAGCGGGCAGUAAAUAACCGACAAUAAAUCACUUUAAACAAAUGCUGACGAAAAAAAAGUAAAACAAAAACCAAUUUGUAAAAUAGUAAGCGACAAACUGCAGAAAUCGCAGUUGAUGCUGAAGCUGAUGUUGAUGCAAUUGCAAAUUUAAACAAGUUGUAAAUUUGUGACAUAAAAAAAAACACACACAACCAAAAAUGUGACACGAAAAACAC